GGUGAACGCUGGCGGCAUACCUCAUACAUGCAGGUCCAGCGAACAGACGAGCAGCUUGCUCCUCUGACGUUGGCGGCGGACGGACGAGUAACACGUUGAUAACCUCUCUAUAAGGCUUGGGUAACAUCGAGACACCGUAGCUAAUACCUGAUAAUCUAUUGAACCGCAUGGUUCCAUAGUGAAAGACGGUUUUGCUGUCCCUUCUAGAUGGAUUCGCGCCGCAUUAGCUAGGUGGUAAGGUAACGGCUUACCAAGGCGACGCUGCGUAGCCGACCUGAGGGGGUGAGCGGUCACACUGGAACUGAGACACGGUCCAGACUCGUGUGGGAGGCAGCAGUAGCGAAUAUGCCGCAGUGGGCGAAGGCCGGACGGAGCAAGGCCGCGUGGGUGAUGAAGGUCUUCGGAUCGUAAAGCUCUGUGAAGCGGGAGGAACACAUGUGUAAGCAACUAUGCACGUCUUGACGGCACGUAAGCAGAUAGACAAGGCGGACCACGGG
This 497-nucleotide ribosomal RNA is filed under the name uncultured bacterium. Its description in RNAcentral is "partial 16S ribosomal RNA". It matches the Rfam family "Bacterial small subunit ribosomal RNA", at positions 28 to 507 of the family's 1533-position model. The record is from RNAcentral.